RNAcentral lists this long non-coding RNA (1614 nucleotides) under Zalophus californianus (California sea lion). Its description in RNAcentral is "lncRNA (ENSZCAG00015003599.1)". The record is from RNAcentral. Lineage: Eukaryota; Metazoa; Chordata; Mammalia; Carnivora; Otariidae.
UUAAUGAAGAUACAGGGGGAGAGCAAUGUAAUUUGAAAAAGCACAGACUAAAUCGGUCAGCUUUUUAUUGGUAAUAAUGAAGAGGAAGUUUUUAAUCUGUCUUUGCAGGGGUAUAUGCAAUUUCCUUUCACAUCAGAGCCCCUAAUGCCUCCUUUGUUCUUCUGACAACCUUAGAAAUUCUUCAGCCAGGAGCUAUGUACCCAACAGGCAGACGGCUCAGUCUGUGGAUAUUGUGUAAGUGUCUGGAAUGUACACCUGGUACCUCUCCACUGGUAUCCACAGUUAAACAAAGUAAAUAGAAGAUCUCAAGGAGGAAUAUGUUUCAGGUGUACAAUAUCGUGAUUCAACACUGCCACACAUCACCUGGGGCUGACGGGCGUGCUGGUCUUAAGAAGUUAAAAGUUGCGAAAACUGAUGCGCUAACCUUUUGGUAACAAGUUGAAUUAAGAAGGGAGGCACACAAUUUGUGGAAAAUACAGCUAAGGGAGUCCCAGGAGGCUGGCGGUAUGCAAGAGCUGUUUCAGCUUGAGAUUCUCUUUCAUCUCAAAAGCCAAAAUGUAUCAUUUUCUUCAAAAUUUAAUCAUUCUUUGGAUUGUCCCAUGUUAAUGUAAUCCAUUAAUUAAAAGACUUUAAAAUGUUUACAGUUACUUAGUGAUGUGAAGGUAAUCUUCAGGUUUUCCUUUUGUUCAUUUACUCAACACACACACACACACACACACACACACACACACACACACACACACAGUGCCUUCUUUUUUUUUUAAGAUUUUAUUUAUUCAUGAGAGACAGAGAGAGAGGGAGAGAGAGAAGCAGAGGGAGAAGCAGGCUCCCAAGGAGCAAGGAGCAUGAUGCGGGACUCGAUUCCAGGACCCUGGGAUCAUGACCUGAGCCGAAGGCAGCCGCUUAACCAUCUGAGCCACCCAGGCGCCCUAGGGAGUGCCUUCUGAAUGGAAUUCUUUCUAAUGUGUAUGAAGUCAUUAGUGACAAAAAGUAAUGCUAUAGAAAGGAAUAUCAAGUGACACUUUCAUUUAGAUUGUAAGGUCAGGAAAGGCCUCCCUAUCCACCCACCCACUCAUCCAUCCAUCACUCCAACAGAUACUGCUCAGAUACUUCCCUAACAAAGUGACAUUUAAGCUAAGCUCUGAAGGAUGAGUAGGAAAUAGCCUGGAAAAUAUGUAGGAGAUCAGCUGGAGAAGAGGAAACAACUGUGAGGUAGAAAAGAGCUUGGCACAUAAAAGGAACUGAAACGGGACAAUAUGCUGAGGCUCACUGAGCAAGGGAGAAGAUCUUGGUGAGAGAUGUUGGUGGGGAAGGAGGCAGGGAGGAGGGCCUGUUUGUGAUCUUAUUCUAAGAGGUCAGUAAGAAACGGUGACUAUUUUAUAACUUACCCCAUAGCUGGGGGUAGGGCAGAGAAAAAAAAAAGAGAGGAAGAAGGGUAGUAUUGGAAAGAAAAUAUGAAACUGGUGCCAAACACCAGCCCCUCCUUGUGGAUUGUGAUACACACCCUGAAGCAAGAUGUGACCCCCUCUUACUAACAGACCAGUGUUUUUCAAUCUUGAGAAAUGUACAAAUAGCUUUUGAAGGAAAAUAAAAAUUUAUCUAGACCUCCCUCCC